GACGAACGCUGGCGGCGUGCCUAAUACAUGCAAGUCGAGCGAACAGACGAGGCGCUUGUUCCUUGCUCGUUAGCGGCGGACGUGUGAGUAACACGUGGAUACUCUACCUGUAAGACUGGGAUAACUUCGGGAAACCGGAGCUAACAGCGGAUAAUAUCUUGAACCGCAUGGUUCAAUAGUAAAAGACGGUUUUUGGGGCUCGUAUAGAUGCAUCCGCGCGGCAUGGGCUGGUUGGUAAGUUAACGGCUUUCUACGGCGACGAUGCGUAUCCGACGUGAGAGGGUGAUAGGCGACCCGGGAACGGAGCCGCGGUCCAGGCUCCUACGGGAGGCAGCAGUAGGGAAUGGUCCGCAAUGGGCGAAAGCUUGACGGAGCGACGGCGCGUGAGUGAUGACGGCGUUCGGAUCGUAAAGCUGUGUUAUUGGGGAAGAACAAAUGUGUACGUAACUGUGCAGGUCUUGACGGUACCUAAUCAGAAAGCCACGGCUAACUACGUG
RNAcentral lists this ribosomal RNA (497 nucleotides) under uncultured bacterium. RNAcentral describes it as "partial 16S ribosomal RNA". It matches the Rfam family "Bacterial small subunit ribosomal RNA", at positions 28 to 507 of the family's 1533-position model. The record is from RNAcentral.